GGGGAAUAUUGGACAAUGGGCGCAAGCCUGAUCCAGCCAUGCCGCGUGGGUGAAGAAGGCCUUCGGGUUGUAAAGCCCUUUUGUUGGGGAAGAAAUCGUGCAGGUGAAUAUCCUGCGCGGAUGACGGUACCCAAAGAAUAAGCACCGGCUAACUUCGUGCCAGCAGCCGCGGUAACACGAAGGAUGCAAGCGUUAUCUGGAAUUAUUGGGUUUAAAGGGUGCGUAGGCGGACUAAUAAGUCAGUGGUGAAAGCCUGCAGCUUAACUGCAGAAUUGCCAUUGAUACUGUUAGUCUUGAGUACAGUUGAGGUAGGCGGAAUGUGUCAUGUAGCGGUGAAAUGCUUAGAUAUGACACAGAACACCGAUUGCGAAGGCAGCUUGCUAAGCUGUAACUGACGCUGAGGCACGAAAGCGUGGGGAGCAAACA
Molecule: ribosomal RNA, 426 nt
Filed under: uncultured bacterium
Lineage: Bacteria
Description: bacterial SSU rRNA
Rfam family: Bacterial small subunit ribosomal RNA
Source: RNAcentral